CCGCUCUGCAUUGUAGCUAGUUGGUAAGGUUUACGGCUUACCAAGGCAACGAUGCAUAGCCGACCUUGAGAGGGUGAUCGGCCACACUGGAACUGAGACACGGUCCAGACUCCUACGGGAGGCAGCAGUAGGGAAUCUUCCGCAAUGGGCGUAAGCCUGACGGAGCAACGCCGCGUGAGUGAUGAAGGUCUUCGGAUCGUUAAACUCUGUUAUUAGGGAAGAACAUAUGUGUAAGUAACUGUGCACAUCUUGACGGUACCUAAUCAGAAAGCCACGGCUAACUACGUGCCAGCAGCCGCGGUAAUACGUAGGUGGCAAGCGUUAUCCGGAAUUAUUGGGCGUAAAGCGCGCGUAGGCGGUUUUUUAAGUCUGAUGUGAAAGCCCACGGCUCAACCGUGGAGGGUCAUUGGAAACUGGAAAACUUGAGUGCAGAAGAGGAAAGUGGAAUUCCAUGUGUAGCUGGUGAAAUGCGCAGAGAUAUGGAGGAACACCAGUGGCGAAGGCGACUUUCUGGUCUGUAACUGACGCUGAUGUGUGAAAGCGUGGGGAUCGAACAGGAUUAGAUACCCUGGUAGUCCACGCCGUAAACGAUGAGUGCUAAGUGUUAGGGGGUUUCCGCCCCUUAGUGCUGCAGCUAACGCAUUAAGCACUCCGCCUGGAAGAGUACGAGCCGUCAAGGUUG
Molecule: ribosomal RNA, 682 nt
Filed under: uncultured Staphylococcus sp.
Lineage: Bacteria; Bacillati; Bacillota; Bacilli; Caryophanales; Staphylococcaceae
Description: bacterial SSU rRNA
Rfam family: Bacterial small subunit ribosomal RNA
Source: RNAcentral